UUUUCCCUACGGGACGCAGCAGUGGGGAAUAUUGCACAAUGGGGGAAACCCUGAUGCAGCGACGCCGCGUGAGUGAGGAAGUAUUUCGGUAUGUAAAGCUCUCUCAGCAGGGAAGAGAAUGACGGUACCUGACUAAGAAGCCCCGGCUAACUACGUGCCAGCAGCCGCGGUAAUACGUAGGGGGCGAGCGUUAUCCGGAUUUACUGGGUGUAAAGGGAGCGUAGACGGCUGGUCAAGUCUGAAGUGAAAGCCCGGGGCUUAACCCCGGAACGGCUUUGGAAACUGAGCAGCUAGAGUGCUGGAGG
Molecule: ribosomal RNA, 305 nt
Filed under: uncultured bacterium
Lineage: Bacteria
Description: bacterial SSU rRNA
Rfam family: Bacterial small subunit ribosomal RNA
Source: RNAcentral